Stomoxys calcitrans (stable fly) is the source of this 2234-nucleotide long non-coding RNA. RefSeq lists it as uncharacterized. The record is from RefSeq and is a predicted model, not a curated record. The transcript is spliced from 3 exons. NCBI's taxonomy places the organism in Eukaryota, Metazoa, Arthropoda, Insecta, Diptera, Muscidae.
CUGCAGGACCACUAACAUUUUAUAUGUGUUCGGUUACUUGUCAAUUAAAAAAUUGUAGGAGAGUAAGAACAGCUUAUACUCUCUCUUGCUAUUUAUGUAUACAUAUGUUCAUAUUAUUAAAAGGCCAAGGGUUUUUAAAGGCGAGUUUGUGGUACUUACUACGGUCAAACAGCCGAAUGGAUUUUGAAGAAAUUGGCAUCAAUCGAAAGAUAUUUUUUCAGAGAUGCUUGAAAUAUGCAUGAAAAUAAAUUUUCCAAAAAGAAAGACCACGAAAAUGAGAAAUAAAAGAAGAAGCAGAAAAAGCAAAUUGUUUUUGCUUUUCUCUUAAGCAUCCGUUAUUUGUGUGAAUCCAAUGUCAUUUGGUGGGAGCAUGAGAUAAGUAAGAGUAAGAAAGGCAACUGGUAGAUGAUGUGUGUGAGAAAGAGUAUCACUAUUUAGCUGAGAGUGCAAAGAGGACUGAAAUAAAAGAGAAAUUUUUGUGCUCUCAAAAUUUUACAGCAAAUGUCAAGCUUAUAGGUGUCGGUAAUUAUUUUAUUUUUCUUCAAAACAAGCAGCUCUGCCGAAAAAAAUUGAAGAAAUCAAAUUAACAGCAAAAAGAAAAGAAAUAAAUGAAGGAAUGAUACACUUAUUGGAAGCUACGACUACCGAAAACUACAAUAAUAUCGUAUACGCGCAUUACGCCAUAGUUUGUCAUAAAGCUGACAAAAUAUCUGUGGCACUAUCGAUAUUUAAUUUUUUGACUGAAUAUCGAUUGAUAUUUUUUAGAUGGAUACUAUCGCAAAAGUUAACUUUUUUGCAAAACUAAACAAAAAAGCAAUCCGACACUGAACGUAUCCUUUAAGAUACAUUACGCCUAUUAAGGGCGCAAUUUUCAUCCGAUUAUGCCAACAUUCUGUACAAUAAUUUUGUACAAUAAAAUCUGAUGUGCAUUGAUAUUGCUUCUAUAUAAAUCGAUCUCCUUAUUUUUACAUCUCAUUUUCGUUUGAAAUAAAUGUGAUGGGAAAUUAUAAUCGAAAAUAUCGAAUGCUGUGAUUAUUGAUAGUUUGCCAGCUCUAGUUUGGCAAGAUGCAACCAUAAAACCCAGAUGUUUCUAUUACAAAUACAUUUUUAUAAGGAUAUUUUUAUUCUGUGUAUUGUAAAAGAGGGCAUAACAGAGCUUGCCUGGUUAAAUUAAUAAGCCGGUUUUCAUAAAACAUUUUUUCGAUGUUGCAAAUUGCUGCAGAGAAAAAGACAUACAUCAACAAUUUGCAAGCUUUCAAUUAUUAAACUCUCAAACUUUUGCUCGCACUCUCCCGCUCCUUUCUGCUGGCAAAUAAAAGCUGUGUUCGGGAACUCAAAAAGUUGUGCAAAUUUGCACAAAUUUUUGUUGGAAGUCGUUCGCGUACUUUACUUGCCAGUAGAAGAGAGAGCAGAAAGAGCAAAUUUUGACAGAUCAAACUAGAGAACCUGCAAAUUUGUACUGGGACUUUUCUUGCCAGCAGAAAUUUGCAACUUUGAACAGAUGUUUUGUAAAGAUCAAUUGUUUUAUGAAAAACAGCUGUUACAUGAAAAUCUAACACCAAAAUGGAUCAAAAAGGCAGAGAUUCAAGGCACCAGUCAGAGUUAGGGUACAGAAAACUCGCCAAAUGAUGUAAUUUUAUUUUUAAUGAAGAUUCAAGGCACUUUUAAUGAAGAUUCAAGGCACCAGUCAGAGUUAGGGUACAGAAAACUCGCCAAAUGAUGUAAUUUUAUCUCAAGUCGGUUUUUAUACAUUAGAAGACAUCAAGAAAAGAGCUAUUAUCUGUUUCUUAAGUGUAUUGAUGGAAUCAUCCUCAUCGGAGAGCUACGACGAAAUCAACACCUUUCCUUUGAAUUUGUUACGGAGGGAAGAUGCUGCCAUGGGAUUGAGUGUAUCUGGCUGGGCAGUUAAACAAGUGGCGCACAGUGGGAUUAGAAAAAAAUUAGUGCAAAUUAGUCUGCCAAAUGUGAACGGAAACAGAUAUCUUCAAUGAUAACAAAGUGUCCGUAGCCGCCACAUGACCAAAUGAAAAGCUCCCUUGGCCUCACAUCAGUGGUCAUAGCAAUUUGUCUAGCCACAAUAUCCACAAGCAUUAGAUGGUUAGUCCAAGGUUUCUUUGAAUCGAAGACAUUAUUUGUUGAAGUACGUAAGUCUGUACAAUAGACUUGACAGACAAAAUUAUUGACAUUUUGUUGACUUUCAACAAAUUCUUUAGUUGAGGUAGUUGUGAAAAUAU